UGGGGCGUAGCCAAGUGGUAAGGCAGCGGUUUUUGGUACCGCCAUUCCCUGGUUCGAAUCCAGGCGCCCCAG
This 72-nucleotide transfer RNA is filed under the name Phyllobacterium myrsinacearum. It matches the Rfam family "tRNA". From Rfam's summary of the family: Transfer RNA (tRNA) molecules are approximately 80 nucleotides in length. Lineage: Bacteria; Pseudomonadati; Pseudomonadota; Alphaproteobacteria; Hyphomicrobiales; Phyllobacteriaceae. RNAcentral also lists the same sequence under 6 other names. The record is from Rfam by way of RNAcentral.